This is a long non-coding RNA of Centrocercus urophasianus (Greater sage-grouse), 762 nucleotides long. RefSeq lists it as uncharacterized. The transcript has 5 exons. The record is from RefSeq and is a predicted model, not a curated record. NCBI's taxonomy places the organism in Eukaryota, Metazoa, Chordata, Aves, Galliformes, Phasianidae.
UCGGGUAGAAUUUCUUUCUUUGAGAAAGCUGAGGCGAUCAAAACCCUGAUUAACCUCUGAUAUUCACGUGGUGCUCUUGAUCUUGAGGACCGAAGCAGUAACAAAGAGUUAAUGGCAGCCAUAUGCUCACGGUUUGGCGUGGAGAUUACUGAUGAAGAGUUUGAGCUGCUACUUGACAGAAUCCCCCUUGAUGAAGAUGGAAGUGUCAGAUACCCCCAGUUCAUGGCCAGGUUUGAUUCCUGAUUGCUUCAGCUGUCAUGUCCAAGUAAAUUCUGAAGUCAAGAGAAGCCAACGUCCCUAAAAGAAGCAACAUUCAUCUUACUACAGCCUAUGCCAGAUUUCAGAGACUGUGACCAAAGGCAGAGUGACAAAGAUGCAGGAUGAAUGUCAACCUUAAGUGUUGUAUUUGAGGAGCUAAGGUGAGAGGUCAGCUACAAGAGGGCCGUGUGGAAUUGUCCUAAUCCGAGAAGAGCCACUGCCUCCCUGUGUGAUCUGACAGACUGACAUAUCACUUGACCUCGGUCACGGCAGCUGUACACCGAGGUGGAAAAGGCGGCUGAUGGACAACCACGGGAUGCCUUUCAGCACAGCUUCCUCGGGGUAAACCACGGACAAACGCAUGGCUUGGCUUCUUUCUUACUCAUCCAUGAGUUUUAGAUCAAAUUCAGAUUUUGCAUAGCUUUUCUUGGAUUUUUUUCUUUAACACAGCGGAAGCGAGGGUGACGCAGUCACCUACCGCAGGUUCUCGGGGGCAGAGCGGCA